UACGUAGGGGGCAAGCGUUGUUCGGAUUCAUUGGGCGUAAAGGGUGUGUAGGUGGCGCCGUAAGUCGGGUGUGAAAUCUCGGGGCUUAACUCCGAAACUGCAUUCGAUACUGCGGUGCUUGAGGACUGGAGAGGAGACUGGAAUUCAUGGUGUAGCAGUGAAAUGCGUAGAGAUCAUGAGGAAGACCAGUGGCGAAGGCGGGUCUCUGGACAGUUCCUGACGCUGAGGCACGAAGGUCAGGGGAGCAAACGGG
Molecule: ribosomal RNA, 253 nt
Filed under: uncultured bacterium
Lineage: Bacteria
Description: partial 16S ribosomal RNA
Rfam family: Bacterial small subunit ribosomal RNA
Source: RNAcentral